RNAcentral lists this ribosomal RNA (440 nucleotides) under uncultured bacterium. RNAcentral's name for it is "partial 16S ribosomal RNA". It matches the Rfam family "Bacterial small subunit ribosomal RNA", at positions 338 to 795 of the family's 1533-position model. The record is from RNAcentral.
CCUACGGGGUGCAGCAGUGGGGAAUAUUGCACAAUGGGGGAAACCCUGAUGCAGCGACGCCGCGUGAGCGAUGAAGUCUUUCUGUAUGUAAAGCUCUAUCAGCAGGGAAGAAAAGGACGGUACUUGACUAAUAAGCCCCGGCUAACUACGUUCCAGCAGCCGCGGUCAUACGUAGGGGGCAAGGCUUACCCGGAUGUACGGGGUGUAAAGAGGGCGUAGACGGUCCUGCAAGCCAGGUGUGAAAGGCCGGGGCUCAACGCCGGGUCUGCAUUUGGUACUGUAGGGCUAGAGUGUCGUAGAGGCAGGCGGAAUUCCUAGUGUAGCGGUGAAAUGCGUAGAUAUUAGGAGGAACACCAGUGGCGAAGGCAGCCUGCUGGACGGUGACUGACGUUGAGGCUCGAAAGCGUGGGGAGCGAACAGGAUUAGAUACCCUGGUAGUC